Cucumis sativus (cucumber) is the source of this 806-nucleotide long non-coding RNA. RefSeq lists it as uncharacterized. The transcript is spliced from 2 exons. NCBI's taxonomy places the organism in Eukaryota, Viridiplantae, Streptophyta, Magnoliopsida, Cucurbitales, Cucurbitaceae. The record is from RefSeq and is a predicted model, not a curated record.
UGGACUCUGGAGCUUGCAUGUUUGGAUCAAAAUUGAGCAUUUAUCCUGGUCCUUAUUAACUCACAAAAACUAUGUUCCAAAACAAAGUUUUUAAGUCGUAUAAAUAGUAUUUUAUGCUGAACUUACAGUUUUUACUUUUACCUAUUAUUUUAAGUCUGUGAGUUCAUAUUCUGUCAAAAAACUUUUACGUCGAUAUAAUUUCAGCACUUUCGAGCAUGAGUGAUAAUGGAAGUAUGAAUUAGUACGAUAAUAGUUUGUCGGGCACAUAAUUAUAAAUCUUUAUCAAUGCUGGUCUCUUAUCCACACAAAAGGGUAAUUGAAAAUUUCAAAUAACUUGGAUUUAAAACACCAAGAAGCAACAGCAAGCAAAACAAAAUCCCGAAGGUCGGAAGAGAAUCCUUGUUCGGAGUUCAAGAUUCUGCCAUUGUGUGAAUUUAUGUGGGGAGAGGAUAUGCAGUUGAAAAAUGUCCUGGAGCUUCUUGUACCAAUGGCUGUCCAUAAAGUGACAAUAAAAAAAGGGAUAGUUUGCCGUUUGCAAACAUUUUUAGCUUUUGCAUAGAAUGCACCAAUUGGGGUUUAGUACAUUGUUGGGCUUCCUCUUCAGAGUAUUAUCAUUUUUGUUCAGGGCCCCCAAAUUCUUUUAAUAAGCAAAGCAAUGAAAAUUGCACUGUAUGUGAAGUUAACUUGUAAAGUGUAAUUAAUGGAAAUAUUACUUUUCUGAGAGUAGAUAAGAUGUUCAAAAUGGUUCAGCAACGUUACUUAUUUUAGUAUUUUGGCUAAAUGAUAAGCUUCUAUUGUAUGGCUAA